UACGUAGGGGGCAAGCGUUGUCCGGAAUCAUUGGGCGUAAAGCGCGUGUAGGCGGUUCGGUAAGUCUGCUGUGAAAGUCCAGGGCUCAACCCUGGGAUGCCGGUGGAUACUGCUGGGCUAGAGUACGGAAGAGGCGAGUGGAAUUCCCGGUGUAGCGGUGAAAUGCGCAGAUAUCGGGAGGAACACCUAUUGCGAAGGCAGCUCGCUGGGACGUUACUGACGCUGAGACGCGAAAGCGUGGGGAGCGAACAGG
Molecule: ribosomal RNA, 253 nt
Filed under: uncultured bacterium
Lineage: Bacteria
Description: partial 16S ribosomal RNA
Rfam family: Bacterial small subunit ribosomal RNA
Source: RNAcentral